AGUGAACGCUGGCGGUAGGCCUAACACAUGCAAGUCGAACGGCAGCACAGUAAGAGCUUGCUCUUACGGGUGGCGAGCGGCGGACGGGGGAGGUAGACAUCGGAAUAUACUGUGUCGUGUGUGAUAACGUAGGGUAAGUUACGCUAAUACCGCAUACGACCUACGGGUGAAAGCAGGGGAUCUUCUGACCUGGCGCGAGUGGAUGAGCCGAUGUCGGAUUAGCUAGUUGGCGGGGUAAAGGCCGACCAAGGCGACGAUCGGAAGCUGGUCCGAGCGGAUCAUCAGCCACACUGGCACAGAGACACGGUCCACACUCCUACACGAAGCAGCGGUGCAGACUCCUGCACGAUGCGGGAGAGCCUGAUCCAGCCAUACCGCGUAAGUCCAGACGCAGUUCUGGCUCUUAAGUCAUUUUGUUCGGAAGAAAAAACAGCACGUUCACCCCCCGCUGUUAUGACGGUACCCAAAGAAUAAGCCCCGGCUAACUUCGUG
This 492-nucleotide ribosomal RNA is filed under the name uncultured bacterium. Its description in RNAcentral is "partial 16S ribosomal RNA". It matches the Rfam family "Bacterial small subunit ribosomal RNA", at positions 29 to 507 of the family's 1533-position model. The record is from RNAcentral.